RNAcentral lists this ribosomal RNA (434 nucleotides) under uncultured bacterium. Its description in RNAcentral is "partial 16S ribosomal RNA". It matches the Rfam family "Bacterial small subunit ribosomal RNA", at positions 29 to 507 of the family's 1533-position model. The record is from RNAcentral.
AGCGAACGCUGGCGGCAGGCCUAACACAUGCAAGUCGAACGAACCUUUCGGGGUUAGUGGCGGACGGGUGAGUAACACGUGGGAACGUGCCUUUAGGUUCGGAAUAACUCAGGGAAACUUGUGCUAAUACCGAAUGUGCCCUUCGGGGGAAAGAUUUAUCGCCUUUAGAGCGGCCCGCGUCUGAUUAGCUAGUUGGUUGAGGUAAUGGCUCACCAAGGCGACGAUCAGUAGCUGGUCUGAGAGGAUGAUCAGCCACAUUGGGACUGAGACACGGCCCAAACUCCUACGGGAGGCAGCAGUGGGGAAUCUUGCGCAAUGGGCGAAAGCCUGACGCAGCCAUGCCGCGUGAAUGAUGAAGGUCUUAGGAUUGUAAAAUUCUUUCACCGGGGACGAUAAUGACGUUACCCGGAGAAGAAGCCCCGGCUAACUUCGUG